AGGGAAUCUUCCACAAUGGACGAAAGUCUGAUGGAGCAACGCCGCGUGAGUGAUGAAGGGUUUCGGCUCGUAAAACUCUGUUGUUGGAGAAGAACGGGUGUCAGAGUAACUGUUGACAUCGUGACGGUAUCCAACCAGAAAGCCACGGCUAACUACGUGCCAGCAGCCGCGGUAAUACGUAGGUGGCAAGCGUUGUCCGGAUUUAUUGGGCGUAAAGCGAGCGCAGGCGGUUUUUUAGGUCUGAUGUGAAAGCCUUCGGCUUAACCGGAGAAGUGCAUCGGAAACCGGGAGACUUGAGUGCAGAAGAGGACAGUGGAACUCCAUGUGUAGCGGUGAAAUGCGUAGAUAUAUGGAAGAACACCAGUGGCGAAGGCGGCUGUCUGGUCUGCAACUGACGCUGAGGCUCGAAAGCAUGGGUAGCGAACAGGAUUAGAUACCCUGGUAGUCCAUGCCGUAAACGAUGAGUGCUAAGUGUUGGAGGGUUUCCGCCCUUCAGUGCUGCAGCUAACGCAUUAAGCACUCCGCCUGGGGGAGUACGACCGCAAGGUUGAAAC
Molecule: ribosomal RNA, 554 nt
Filed under: uncultured bacterium
Lineage: Bacteria
Description: partial 16S ribosomal RNA
Rfam family: Bacterial small subunit ribosomal RNA
Source: RNAcentral